GAUGAACGCUGGCGGCGUGCCUAAUACAUGCAAGUCGAGCGAACGGACGAGAAGCUUGCUUCUCUGAUGUUAGCGGCGGACGGGUGAGUAACACGUGGAUAACCUACCUAUAAGACUGGGAUAACUUCGGGAAACCGUAGCUAAUACCGGAUAAUAUUUUGAACCGCAUGGUUCAAAAGUGAAAGACGGUCUUGCUGUCACUUAUAGAUGGAUCCGCGCUGCAUUAGCUAGUUGGUAAGGUAACGGCUUACCAAGGCAACGAUGCAUAGCCGACCUGAGAGGGUGAACGGCCACACUGGAACGGAGACACGGCCCAGACGCCAACGGGAGGCAGCAGUAGGGAAUCUUCCGCAAUGGGCGAAAGCAUGACGGAGCAACGCCGCGUGAGUGAUGAAGGUCUUCGGAUCGUAAAACGCUGUUAUUAGGGAAGAACAUAUGUGUAAGUAACUGUGCAGAUCUUGACGGGACCUAAUCAGAAAGCCACGGCUAACUACGU
RNAcentral lists this ribosomal RNA (496 nucleotides) under uncultured bacterium. Its description in RNAcentral is "partial 16S ribosomal RNA". It matches the Rfam family "Bacterial small subunit ribosomal RNA", at positions 28 to 506 of the family's 1533-position model. The record is from RNAcentral.